Molecule: ribosomal RNA, 1442 nt
Filed under: uncultured organism
Description: 16S ribosomal RNA
Rfam family: Bacterial small subunit ribosomal RNA
Source: RNAcentral
AACGCUAGCUACAGGCUUAACACAUGCAAGUCGAGGGGCAGCAUUUUAGUUUGCUUGCAAACUGAAGAUGGCGACCGGCGCACGGGUGAGUAACACGUAUCCAACCUGCCGAUAACUCGGGGAUAGCCUUUCGAAAGAAAGAUUAAUAUCCGAUAGUAUAUUAAAACCGCAUGGUUUUACUAUUAAAGAAUUUCGGUUAUCGAUGGGGAUGCGUUCCAUUAGUUUGUUGGCGGGGUAACGGCCCACCAAGACUACGAUGGAUAGGGGUUCUGAGAGGAAGGUCCCCCACAUUGGAACUGAGACACGGUCCAAACUCCUACGGGAGGCAGCAGUGAGGAAUAUUGGUCAAUGGACGAGAGUCUGAACCAGCCAAGUAGCGUGAAGGAUGACUGCCCUAUGGGUUGUAAACUUCUUUUAUAUGGGAAUAAAGUAUUCCACGUGUGGGAUUUUGUAUGUACCAUAUGAAUAAGGAUCGGCUAACUCCGUGCCAGCAGCCGCGGUAAUACGGAGGAUCCGAGCGUUAUCCGGAUUUAUUGGGUUUAAAGGGAGCGUAGGUGGAUUGUUAAGUCAGUUGUGAAAGUUUGCGGCUCAACCGUAAAAUUGCAGUUGAAACUGGCAGUCUUGAGUACAGUAGAGGUGGGCGGAAUUCGUGGUGUAGCGGUGAAAUGCUUAGAUAUCACGAAGAACUCCGAUUGCGAAGGCAGCUCACUAGACUGCAACUGACACUGAUGCUCGAAAGUGUGGGUAUCAAACAGGAUUAGAUACCCUGGUAGUCCACACAGUAAACGAUGAAUACUCGCUGUUUGCGAUAUACAGUAAGCGGCCAAGCGAAAGCAUUAAGUAUUCCACCUGGGGAGUACGCCGGCAACGGUGAAACUCAAAGGAAUUGACGGGGGCCCGCACAAGCGGAGGAACAUGUGGUUUAAUUCGAUGAUACGCGAGGAACCUUACCCGGGCUUAAAUUGCAUUUGAAUAAUCUGGAAACAGGUUAGCCGCAAGGCAAAUGUGAAGGUGCUGCAUGGUUGUCGUCAGCUCGUGCCGUGAGGUGUCGGCUUAAGUGCCAUAACGAGCGCAACCCUUAUCUUUAGUUACUAACGGGUUAUGCUGAGGACUCUAGAGAGACUGCCGUCGUAAGAUGUGAGGAAGGUGGGGAUGACGUCAAAUCAGCACGGCCCUUACGUCCGGGGCUACACACGUGUUACAAUGGGGGGUACAGAAGGCAGCUACCUGGUGACAGGAUGCUAAUCCCAAAAACCUCUCUCAGUUCGGAUCGAAGUCUGCAACCCGACUUCGUGAAGCUGGAUUCGCUAGUAAUCGCGCAUCAGCCAUGGCGCGGUGAAUACGUUCCCGGGCCUUGUACACACCGCCCGUCAAGCCAUGAAAGCCGGGGGUACCUGAAGUACGUAACCGCAAGGAGCGUCCUAGGGUAAAACUGGUAAUUG